Long non-coding RNA from Etheostoma spectabile (orangethroat darter), 149 nucleotides. RefSeq lists it as uncharacterized. Lineage: Eukaryota; Metazoa; Chordata; Actinopteri; Perciformes; Percidae. The transcript has 3 exons. The record is from RefSeq and is a predicted model, not a curated record.
AAAACUUGAAAUUAAAAUGAACAUCAUUCUUUGUUGCAGAACACUUAACACUAGCAAUUGAGACCAAAAACUGAUUAUGAAAAUGUAGAUUGAGGUAAAUAAUCAAGAGAAAAGUGGAUCACUUUCUCAUAGACUUCUACAGAAACCAA